AGCCAUUAGAAGAUCUUUAUGGUUUAACCUGCCCAAUGUUGAAAAUGAAUGGCCGCGGUACUCUGACCGUGCUAAGGUAGCGUAAUAAGUUGGCUUUUAAAUGGAGUCAGGUAUGAAUGGAUUAACUGGGUUUAGCUGUCUCGGAAGUGUUAUAUUGAAUUUACUGUCCAUGUGAAAAAGCUUGGAUUUAAUAGGGGGACGAGAAGACCCUUAAAAUUUUAUUAAAAACAAUUAUUGAUUGUUUGCAAUUUUGUUGGGGCGACAUAGAAAUAAUUAUAACUUUCUGUAAAAUAUAAGUCGGAAUUUUCAGGUAAAGAUAAAUUACUUAAGGGAUAACAGCAUAAUUCUAAAAUUGAGUUUGUGACCUCGAUGUUGGACUAGGAAGCUAGUAGGUUAGAUGCCUGCUGUGGGGAUUCUGUUCGAAUUUUAACUCCU
This 435-nucleotide ribosomal RNA is filed under the name Diaphoreolis lagunae. RNAcentral's name for it is "partial 16S ribosomal RNA". It matches the Rfam family "Archaeal large subunit ribosomal RNA", at positions 1924 to 2665 of the family's 2987-position model. The record is from RNAcentral. Lineage: Eukaryota; Metazoa; Mollusca; Gastropoda; Nudibranchia; Trinchesiidae.